UACAGAGGUCUCAAGCGUUGUUCGGAUUCAUUGGGCGUAAAGGGUGUGUAGGUGGCGCGCUAAGUCGGGUGUGAAAUUUCGGAGCUUAACUCCGAAACUGCAUUCGAUACUGGCGUGCUUGAGGACUGGAGAGGAGACUGGAAUUCAUGGUGUAGCAGUGAAAUGCGCAGAUGUCAGGAGGAACACCAAUGGCGAAGGCAGCACUCUGGGACGUGACUGACGCUGAGACGCGAAAGCGUGGGGAGCAAACAGG
This 253-nucleotide ribosomal RNA is filed under the name uncultured bacterium. RNAcentral describes it as "partial 16S ribosomal RNA". It matches the Rfam family "Bacterial small subunit ribosomal RNA", at positions 524 to 776 of the family's 1533-position model. The record is from RNAcentral.